UACAGAGGUCUCAAGCGUUGUUCGGAUUCAUUGGGCGUAAAGGGUGCGUAGGUGGCGUCGUAAGUCAGGUGUGAAAUCUCGGGGCUUAACUCCGAAACUGCAUUUGAUACUGCCGUGCUUGAGGACUGGAGAGGAGACUGGAAUUUACGGUGUAGCGGUGAAAUGCGUAGAUAUCGUAAGGAAGACCAGUGGCGAAGGCGGGUCUCUGGACAGUUCCUGACGCUGAGGCACGAAGGCCAGGGGAGCAAACGGG
This 253-nucleotide ribosomal RNA is filed under the name uncultured bacterium. RNAcentral's name for it is "partial 16S ribosomal RNA". It matches the Rfam family "Bacterial small subunit ribosomal RNA", at positions 524 to 776 of the family's 1533-position model. The record is from RNAcentral.